AUUGAACGCUGGCGGCAGGCCUAACACAUGCAAGUCGAGCGGAUGAAGGGAGCUUGCUCCGGGAUUCAGCGGCGGACGGGGGAGUAAUGCCUAGGAAUCUGCCUGGUAGUGGGGGAUAACGUCCGGAAACGGGCGCUAAUACCGCAUACGUCCUGAGGGAGAAAGUGGGGGAUCUUCGGACCUCACGCUAUCAGAUGAGCCUAGGUCGGAUUAGCUAGUUGGUGGGGUAAAGGCCUACCAAGGCGACGAUCCGUAACUGGUCUGAGAGGAUGAUCAGUCACACUGGAACUGAGACACGGUCCAGACUCCUACGGGAGGCAGCAGUGGGGAAUAUUGGACAAUGGGCGAAAGCCUGAUCCAGCCAUGCCGCGUGUGUGAAGAAGGUCUUCGGAUUGUAAAGCACUUUAAGUUGGGAGGAAGGGCAGUAAGUUAAUACCUUGCUGUUUUGACGUUACCAACAGAAUAAGCACCGGCUAACUUCGUG
This 484-nucleotide ribosomal RNA is filed under the name uncultured bacterium. RNAcentral describes it as "partial 16S ribosomal RNA". It matches the Rfam family "Bacterial small subunit ribosomal RNA", at positions 30 to 507 of the family's 1533-position model. The record is from RNAcentral.